RNAcentral lists this ribosomal RNA (406 nucleotides) under uncultured bacterium. Its description in RNAcentral is "partial 16S ribosomal RNA". It matches the Rfam family "Bacterial small subunit ribosomal RNA", at positions 30 to 526 of the family's 1533-position model. The record is from RNAcentral.
AUUGAACGCUGGCGGCAGGCCUAACACAUGCAAGUCGAACGAGUGGCGGACGGGUGAGUAAUGUCUGGGAAACUGCCUGAUGGAGGGGGAUAACUACUGGAAACGGUAGCUAAUACCGCAUACCAUCAGAUGUGCCCAGACGGGAUUCGCUUGUUGUUGGGGUAACGGCUCACCAAGGCGACGAUCACUAGCUGGUCUGAGAGGAUGACCAGCCACACUGGAACUGCGUCUCGGUCCAAACUCCUACGGGAGGCAGCAGUGGGGAAUAUUGCACAAUGGGCGCAGUCCUAGUGCAGCCAGUCCGCGUGUAUGAAGAAGGCCUUCGGGUUGUAAAGUACUUUCAGCGGGGAGGCGUUACCCGCAGAAGGUGCACCGGCUAACUCCGUGCCAGCAGCCGCGGUAGUAC